AAUAGUCCAAUUGUUAAGUUAUUCCAGUUGUCAGUAUCAAUGUUACAAGAAAAUCUCAGCUUGAAAUCAACCUAUUAUACAUCACACUCCAAAAGAUUAUCAAUUUUAACCCAAUUUUAUCAAGAUCAGCACAAUGAUUAACAACAAAAAAAAGCACUGAGUGAGGUAAUGAGCACAAAAUCAAGAAACUUUAAUAAAAUUUAACAUCAGAAAAAAAGCAAGAACAAGCCAAUAACAGUUUAUCAGUACCAAUUUAGCAUCAAUCAAUAAGCCAGUAACAGAGUUCAUUAAUCAAGAACAGGCUAGAACAAGCCAGAGUAGUGAGCAAAGCCAAUCAACCAAGAACAAGCCAGUAACAGUUUAUCAGUACCAAUUUAGCAUCAAUCAAUAAGCCAAUGAUUAACAAGCUCAGCACAAUGAUUAACAACAAAAAAAAAAGUACUGCAUGAGGUAAUGAGCACAAAAUCAAGAAACUUUAACAAAAUUUAACAACAGACAAAAAAGCCAAGAACAAGCCGGUAACAGUUUAUCCGUACCAAUUUAGCAUCAAUCAAUAAGCCAGUAACAGAGUUAAUUAAUCAAGAAUAGGCUAGAACAAGCCAGAGUAGUGAGCAAAGCCAAUCAGCCAAGAACAAGCACUAAGCACUGACAGAGCAUCCAAUUAACUCAAGCACAAAGUAAAAAAACAAAACAGCAACACAACAC
Molecule: non-coding RNA, 705 nt
Organism: Arachis ipaensis
Lineage: Eukaryota; Viridiplantae; Streptophyta; Magnoliopsida; Fabales; Fabaceae
Source: RefSeq, a predicted model, not a curated record